CCCGCCACUGUGCUAGUCUUUUAAAGUGACUCUGUACAAUCCAGUGGAGGCUCAGAGUGACCCAGCUCUAGGAAGCAGGGCGGCCCAAACUAAUGGGCAGCUCUGUGCCGAAAGACCUGGAACAAAC
Molecule: small nucleolar RNA, 127 nt
Organism: Danio rerio (zebrafish)
Lineage: Eukaryota; Metazoa; Chordata; Actinopteri; Cypriniformes; Danionidae
Source: Ensembl